AUUGAACGCUGGCGGCAGGCCUAAUACAUGCAAGUCGAGCGGACGAAGGGAGCUUGCUCCUGUAUUCAGUUGCCGACGGGCGAGUAAUGACUAGGUAGCUGCCCUGUCUAUGGGGAUAACGUACGGUCACGGGCCCUAAUACCACACACGUUCUUAGGUUGAACGUGAGGGAUCAUCAGUCCACACGCUUUCUGCUGACCCUAGGACGGAUUAGCUAGUUGGUGAGGUAAAGGCGUACCAAGGCGACGAUCCGUAACUGGUCUGAGAGGAUGAUCAGUCACACUGGAACUGAGACACGGUCCAGACUCCUACGGGGGGCAGCAGUGGGGAAUCUUGGACAAUGGGCGAAAGCCUGAUGCAGCCACGCCGCGUGUGUGAAGAAGGUCUUCGGAUUGUAAAGCUCUGUAAGUAGGGAAGAAGAGAAGUGUGAUUAUCCCUGGAUGUUUUGACGUUACCAACAGAGAAAGCACCGGCUAACUUCGUG
This 484-nucleotide ribosomal RNA is filed under the name uncultured bacterium. RNAcentral describes it as "partial 16S ribosomal RNA". It matches the Rfam family "Bacterial small subunit ribosomal RNA", at positions 30 to 507 of the family's 1533-position model. The record is from RNAcentral.